CAGCCGCCGCGGGAAUACGUAGGGUGCAAGCGUUAAUCGGAAUUACUGGGCGUAAAGCGUGCGCAGGCGGUUUGUUAAGACAGAUGUGAAAUCCCCGGGCUCAACCCGGGAACUGCAUUUGUGACUGGCAAGCUAGAGUGUGGCAGAGGGGGGUGGAAUUCCGCGCGUAGCAGUGAAAUGCGUAGAUAUGCGGAGGAACACCGAUGGCGAAGGCAGCCCCCUGGGCCAACACUGACGCUCAUGCACGAAAGCGUGGGGAGCAAACAGGAUUAGAUACCCCUGUAGUCCCUGUCUCUUAUAC
RNAcentral lists this ribosomal RNA (301 nucleotides) under uncultured bacterium. RNAcentral's name for it is "partial 16S ribosomal RNA". It matches the Rfam family "Bacterial small subunit ribosomal RNA", at positions 509 to 807 of the family's 1533-position model. The record is from RNAcentral.